RNAcentral lists this ribosomal RNA (471 nucleotides) under uncultured Bacteroides sp. Its description in RNAcentral is "bacterial SSU rRNA". It matches the Rfam family "Bacterial small subunit ribosomal RNA", at positions 28 to 488 of the family's 1533-position model. Lineage: Bacteria; Pseudomonadati; Bacteroidota; Bacteroidia; Bacteroidales; Bacteroidaceae. The record is from RNAcentral.
GAUGAACGCUAGCUACAGGCUUAACACAUGCAAGUCGAGGGGCAGCAUGGUCUUAGCUUGCUAAGACUGAUGGCGACCGGCGCACGGGUGAGUAACACGUAUCCAACCUGCCGUCUACUCUUGGACAGCCUUCUGAAAGGAAGAUUAAUACAAGAUGGCAUCAUGAGUCCGCAUGUUCACAUGAUUAAAGGUAUUCCGGUAGACGAUGGGGAUGCGUUCCAUUAGAUAGUAGGCGGGGUAACGGCCCACCUAGUCUUCGAUGGAUAGGGGUUCUGAGAGGAAGGCCCCCCACAUUGGAACUGAGACACGGUCCAAACUCCUACGGGAGGCAGCAGUGAGGAAUAUUGGUCAAUGGGCGAGAGCCUGAACCAGCCAAGUAGCGUGAAGGAUGACUGCCCUAUGGGUUGCAAACUUCUUUUAUAAAGGAAUAAAGUCGGGUAUGGAUACCCGUUUGCAUGUACUUUAUGAAUA